RNAcentral lists this ribosomal RNA (342 nucleotides) under uncultured bacterium. RNAcentral describes it as "partial 16S ribosomal RNA". It matches the Rfam family "Bacterial small subunit ribosomal RNA", at positions 355 to 709 of the family's 1533-position model. The record is from RNAcentral.
UGGGGAAUAUUGCACAAUGGGCGAAAGCCUGAUGCAGCGACGCCGCGUGCGGGAUGAAGGCCUUCGGGUUGUAAACCGCUUUUGAUUGGGAGCAAGCGAGAGUGAGUGUACCUUUCGAAUAAGCACCGGCUAACUACGUGCCAGCAGCCGCGGUAAUACGUAGGGUGCAAGCGUUAUCCGGAAUUAUUGGGCGUAAAGAGCUCGUAGGCGGUUUGUCGCGUCUGGUGUGAAAGUCCAUCGCUUAACGGUGGAUCUGCGCCGGGUACGGGCAGGCUAGAGUGCGACAGGGGAGACUGGAAUUCCCGGUGUAACGGUGGAAUGUGUAGAUAUCGGGAAGAACAC